Molecule: small RNA, 920 nt
Filed under: Pan troglodytes (chimpanzee)
Lineage: Eukaryota; Metazoa; Chordata; Mammalia; Primates; Hominidae
Description: retained intron
Source: RNAcentral
CACCUCGGAGCCGGAUGUUUGCCGAGCCUUGACAGGCGUGGCAGAGGGAGCAGUGCCCGAGCGCGGUUUCUCUUAAGGUUCUGCAGGGCAAGGCUGUCUGGGACAGGCUUGGCCAUGGAUCCGCUCUCAGAGCUGCAGGAUGAUCUGACCUUGGAUGACACCAGCGAGGCUCUGAACCAGCUGAAGCUGGCCUCCAUCGAUGAGAAGAACUGGCCCUCGGAUGAAAUGCCUGACUUCCCCAAGUCAGAUGACUCCAAAAGCAGCUCCCCGGAACUUGUCACACACCUGAAGUGGGAUGACCCAUACUAUGACAUCGCCCGGCACCAGAUCGUGGAGGUGGCAGGUAAGCACACCCAACACUAUUUUCCUAACCCUCAGAGCUCCUGGCCUCAGGAAGUCAGCCCUUCACACCACAGGGGAAGGGCCUCUCUGCAGUCUGACUGCUGGCCCUGGCGCUCCUGGCAUGUGGGGAGCCAUGUGGCCUAGUGGCUUUGAAGUCAGAAAGCCCUGGGUUUGAUCUCCAGCUCUGCUCUUUGAACUCUAAUUUCUUCCUUGUGGGUUACAAUAAUGAAUGCAUGUCAGGGCCUAUCCCAGAGCCAGAACACAGUUGGCCUUGAAUAAGUAGCCUUCCCUUCCCCUCGUUCUAUUGCCCUCCUACCCCUCCACCCUAAUGUUGGCUUUUCCACCCUAUCAGUUACUGGGGAGGAUGAGGAGUGCCAGUCCUUCCUGGGAAAUCGUAGCCCUAGGGAAGUGUGGAAUGGGCAGAGCCUCUUUCCAGAAAUGGGGAGGGGGCACAUGGCUCCCUGGAGCAUCAGAUUCCUGGCAGAUAUGCUGCCCUGCUGAGAGUGGGUACAGAGCCCCGCUUAGGUCUCUGUCUCAGGGAGCUCCCUCCCUCCUGUUCACAAGGGGGGACCCGGAAG